Molecule: long non-coding RNA, 515 nt
Filed under: Brachypodium distachyon (stiff brome)
Lineage: Eukaryota; Viridiplantae; Streptophyta; Magnoliopsida; Poales; Poaceae
Description: long non-coding RNA (BDIS_LNC002752)
Source: RNAcentral
UUUUUCUCAAUACAUGGCGUAUUAGUACGUUAUAAAAUCAUAUGUAUCCAUAAUUUCUUUGAAAAGGAAUCUUACGAUAUAAAACUCAUGUUACAAAGCAAAGUAACUUUUGAAGAAGAUACCACACGUGCUGCCGCUCUUCAGAAAAUGAUACUGGUUGUUCUUCGCGAUGGGUUGAUCGAUGGACACGCUUUUGUUGGCACAUCAAGACGCGUUUAUUUUACUUGUAUUUGACCUCUUCUGGUUUGUUUUUUUUGACAGCAGACCUCUCUGUUCUCAACGUGCGUGACCCGUUCUCAACGUCACGACAAGCUGACAUGUGUAGUUACAGUGCUUGUCGCGAUCGCUGCCGGCGCAGACGUGCGUAAUCGGUCGAGUCCCCCGCCUGGGCCGGGCCAGGCCGGCCCACGGUUUUCCUGCAAGGCCAGGCCGGGCCGCCUCCACCAGGCGCCGCACACUUUCAAUACUUGCUAAAUUAUACCGAUCGGAAAUAUCAAUACUACUACAUGAAUAUC